GAGCGUUCUGUAAGCCUGUGAAGGUGUGCUGUGAGGCAUGCUGGAGGUAUCAGAAGUGCGAAUGCUGACAUAAGUAACGAUAAAGCGGGUGAAAAGCCCGCUCGCCGGAAGACCAAGGGUUCCUGUCCAACGUUAAUCGGGGCAGGGUGAGUCGACCCCUAAGGCGAGGCCGAAAGGCGUAGUCGAUGGGAAACAGGUUAAUAUUCCUGUACUUGGUGUUACUGCGAAGGGGGGACGGAGAAGGCUAUGUUGGCCGGGCGACGGUUGUCCCGGUUUAAGCGUGUAGGCUGGUUUUCCAGGCAAAUCCGGAAAAUCAAGGCUGAGGCGUGAUGACGAGGCACUACGGUGCUGAAGCAACAAAUGCCCUGCUUCCAGGAAAAGCCUCUAAGCAUCAGGUAACAUCAAAUCGUACCCCAAACCGACACAGGUGGUCAGGUAGAGAAUACCAAGGCGCUUGAGAGAACUCGGGUGAAGGAACUAGGCAAAAUGGUGCCGUAACUUCGGGAGAAGGCACGCUGAUAUGUAGGUGAAGUCCCUCGCGGAUGGAGCUGAAAUCAGUCGAAGAUACCAGCUGGCUGCAACUGUUUAUUAAAAACACAGCACUGUGC
Molecule: ribosomal RNA, 608 nt
Filed under: Escherichia coli
Lineage: Bacteria; Pseudomonadati; Pseudomonadota; Gammaproteobacteria; Enterobacterales; Enterobacteriaceae
Description: partial 23S ribosomal RNA
Rfam family: Bacterial large subunit ribosomal RNA
Source: RNAcentral